AGGCUCUAGAUGAUCCAGUACGUCUUCUUCAAGUAAAAUAAUUUUACUCUAAGAGAGAUAUUGAACAGAUGUUAUAUCUGGUGCAUCAGAUGUUAUAUCUGAUGUACCAGAUAGGACAUCUGUUGCGACUGGGUAUGAUUGAUAUCUUGCAUCAGAUUACACAUCUUUGCUUUGGUCCUUUGAACCCGACUCCUAACAGAUUAACUAUCUACUGCAAAUUAUGCAACAGAUGU
Molecule: long non-coding RNA, 233 nt
Filed under: Capsicum annuum
Lineage: Eukaryota; Viridiplantae; Streptophyta; Magnoliopsida; Solanales; Solanaceae
Description: long non-coding RNA (CANN_LNC002453)
Source: RNAcentral